GACUCGCUGUUCUCUUUGGCAAACCCUGGACAUUUCUUUUAGCGAUGAGCAGGAGAAUUUCAAGGGAUGUCUAGGGAUUUGACUAAAAUGCAUCAUCUCACUCCCCCGCCUAUGGCAUCCCAGGAGACAGAGCUGCUAGCCAGAACUGCCAAGUUCGGAAUCUAGAACUUCACACCUGCUCGGGCCUGGAAACCCCACAGACCGAACCAGGAGAGGGUGCUUGAGCGAUCCAGGGAAGAUGUCUUUGAGAAGGGAGAGGAGAUGAGAACUCUGACUCCUCCCUGCCUGGAAUCCUGUACGUCUGAGGCCGUCCAGCACAAGGCUCUAACCUGGGACAAGGCCUCAGAGAUUUGGAAUAGCCGCCCGAUACCGACUUCUUUGUCUGCAAAGAUAGCUGGCUGUGCUCACUGAGGCUGUUAGAGGAUUUCAACAGCAGCACAGACCAGUGCCCACCAGACCAGUGCUCGUUUUCUGAAGCUGUAGGUUGUGACGUCACAUGGGGUUGUAUAGCUGGAUGUGUGAGCUGUGAAGACUCUGGCAACAGUAAAAGACUUCUGAAUGAACAAUGAUCAAAGUUAAUUCAAAAUAGCACUCUACCAGAAGAGGUGUUUCGAGCAGUGCUUGCCCGUGUUGUAGCUUGCAACAUCACUGCCGGCUUGGUUCUGAAUACACACCAUGAACACUUUGCUCUGUGCAGACCGCCAUGACACCCAACAGGAACAAAAGCCCCGAGAAAUGCCUUGGUUCACACUGAGGACUGUUUUAUGUCGUGAAUGGCAGGGGGUUUACUGUCCAUACAAAGUUUCCUGCUCUCAUAGAAACAUAAUAUUUUAAUCAGGGAGACAAUGACAAUAUCUUUCUAUAGUCAUUUACAUCCUAUACAGUGUAUACAUAUCAAAUUAGUAUAUCUUUGAAUUGUAUUGAAUUAGGCUGUUUGACUUCCACAAUUGCUGUGUAAAUUCUUAACUUGAAUGGUAUUUUUAAAAUGAUAAGGAGGUACUUCCUCUUCCUGUAAGCAGCCAGAGGUGGCCUGUGAAGAUGGCUUGCUACUCUCUUGACCCAGAACCCCCCCCCCAAAUCAUGCAAAUCAAGAGGUUCAAACCUUCCUGUUCACUUCAAGAAGACCCGGAAAACUGCCCAGGCCAUCAAGGGUAUGCAUAUCCGCAAAGCCGCCAAGUAUCUGAAGGAUGUCACUUUAAAGAAGCAAUGUGUGCCAUUCUGGCGGUAUAAUGCACCCAGGCCAAAACAGUGGGGCUGGACACAGGGAUGGUGGCCAAGAAAGAAUGCUGAAUCUUUGCUGUACAUGCUUAAAAAUGCAGAGAGGAAUGCUGAACUUAGGGGUUUAGAUGUGGAUUCUCUAGUCAUUGGACACAUCCAGGUGAACGAGGCACUUAAGCUGCGCCGACGAACCUACAGAGCUCAUGGCCGGAUUAACCCAUACGUGAGCUCCCCCUGCCACAUUGAGAUGAUCCUCACUGAGAAGGAACAGACCUUUCCAAAGCCAGAAGAGAAGGCUGCACCGAAGAAAAACAUAUCCCAGAAGAAACUGAGGAAAUGGGCUGGAGAGAUGGCUCUGUGGGUAAGGGCACUGACUGCUCUUCCAAAGGUCCUGAGUUCAAAUCCCAGCAACCACAUGGUGGCUCACAACCAUCCAAAUAAUGAGAUCUGAUGCCCUCUUCUGGUGUGCCUGAAGUCAGCUACAGUGAACUUAUGCAUAAUAAUAAAUCUUUACAAAAAAGAAAAAGAAACUGAGGAAACAAAAACUCAUGGCCUGGGAAUAAAUUCAGCAUAAAAUAAAUGCAGAUAAAG
Mus musculus (house mouse) is the source of this 1809-nucleotide RNA transcript. It is a transcript of the gene named RIKEN cDNA 1600029O15 gene, with no coding region annotated. NCBI's taxonomy places the organism in Eukaryota, Metazoa, Chordata, Mammalia, Rodentia, Muridae. The transcript has 3 exons. The record is from RefSeq and is marked validated.